CUAACUCUCCAGGACCAGGUGGCCACUCUUCGCUAACCUUUCCCCUUAAAUUUUGGCCCUGCCACUCUGUUCAAAAAAAUACCUUCCUCUCAGCGCUUCUAGGGUCUCGCCUAUCGAUAUCUUCGCAUGCAACACCUAGCGAAAAUUCGAGCGACCAUGGCCGCGGAGAAUUAUUCGCAAACAUCGAAGAGCUACACCUUCCCCAUGCUGGCAUUCUCGGACAUUACAGUGCCUAGGAGGAUCUUGCAGCGCCCAACGUAGGCUUACACCCACGUAUCUGAUAAUCCUUAAGUCUUUGGCGUGAAAAAUCCCCACCGGCCUCCCC
Molecule: long non-coding RNA, 325 nt
Organism: Drosophila pseudoobscura
Lineage: Eukaryota; Metazoa; Arthropoda; Insecta; Diptera; Drosophilidae
Exons: 2
Source: RefSeq, a predicted model, not a curated record